Molecule: ribosomal RNA, 255 nt
Filed under: uncultured bacterium
Lineage: Bacteria
Description: partial 16S ribosomal RNA
Rfam family: Bacterial small subunit ribosomal RNA
Source: RNAcentral
UACGUAGGGUGCGAGCGUUUAAUCGGAAUUACUGGGCGUAAAGCGUGCGCAGGCGGUUUUGUAAGCCAGAUGUGAAAUCCCCGGGCUUAACCUGGGAAUGGCAUUUGUGACUGUAGAGCUGGAGUGCGGGCAGAGGGGGAUGGAAUUCCGCGUGUAGCAGUGAAAUGCGUAGAUAUGCGGAGGAACACCGAUGGCGAAGGCAAUCCCCUGGGCCUGCACUGACGCUCAUGCACGAAAGCGUGGGGAGCAAACAGG